UACGGAAGGCAGCAGUGGGGAAUAUUGCACAAUGGGCGAAAGCCUGAUGCAGCUAUGCCGCGUGUAUGAAGAAGGCCUUAGGGUUGUAAAGUACUUUCAUCGGGGAGGAAAAACAAACUAAUAAUUUUAUUUCUUGACGUUACCCGAAAAAGAAGCACCGGCUAACUCCGUGCCAGCAGCCGCGGUAAUACGGAGGGUGCUAGCGUUAAUCAGAAUUACUGGGCGUAAAGAGCACGUAGGUGGUUUUUUUAAGUCAGAUGUGAAAUCCCUGGGCUUAACCUAGGAACUGCAUUUUGAAACUGAAAUACUAGAGUAUCGUAGAGGGAGGUAGAAUUCUAGGUGUAGCGGUGAAAUGCGUAGAUAUCUGGAGGAAUACCUGUGGCGAAAGCGGCCUCCUAAACGAAUACUGACACUGAGGUGCGAAAGCGUGGGGAGCAAACAGGGAUUAGAUACC
This 454-nucleotide ribosomal RNA is filed under the name uncultured bacterium. Its description in RNAcentral is "bacterial SSU rRNA". It matches the Rfam family "Bacterial small subunit ribosomal RNA", at positions 340 to 786 of the family's 1533-position model. The record is from RNAcentral.